UACCAUAAAUUGAUUUCCUUUAGUUUUAUGUAGUUUUUUAAAUCAUAGUUUAAUUGCUAUUGUAUUGAUGCUGUAUGACCAAGGUCUAUAAACAAAAGGUCAGGACAUGAUUCCAUGAUGCAUUGGCAGUUGCCAUAUUGAUUCUUUUGGUAGACCAAAUUUGGCAAUCUGUUUUUUUUCAAACUCAAUUAGCUGGAUUUCAUGUUAACUAUUUUUGUUUUAAAUGGUUUGGUGUUUGGCACCAAACUGUACAAAUUUUUCAGUAAAAGUUCUGUUUUCUCACUGACAAAGCCAGGAGAGCUAAAUGGUUUCAAUAUUGCAGAGAUAAGUGGAAACAACUGAGAAUUUCAGGCUGUAUGAGGUUAGUGGAUAAAAUAAUGUUGAAAAAAUAAAUUUGUGAAGUGUUUACAAUAACUUUUGUAAUGUAAUGUAAUGUAUUGUAACUGAAUCUUUUAGAUACAUUUUUGAAGAGUCACAAGUUGAAGUUAAAAGAAUGAAUAGGAGAAAAUUACUGCAGCUGAUAAACAAAACUUAAAUGUUUAACAUCUUGAAGUAAAUGUCGAAAUAGCCUCUGAAUGAAAAGAUACUCUUUUGGAAUUUUAUAAGGAAUUCUGUGGCUUGAAUUCGAAGGAACUUGCAGUAAAGAGCGUGAAAUCUGUACCCUGACCAUGGAACUUAAGGUACCAGAAUGGCGAUUCUAUAAGGAACAAUAGCGUCCUGAUCUUGGUAGGACAGAUGGUCAACUUUUCGUUGCUGCAAUCGACUUUCAUUACAGUAUAUUAAAAUCAGUCAUUAAAUUUAUGGUAACAUCAGUACCAACUGUGACCCCCCUAUAUAGUAAAAGAAGUAUUCAUGUUUUCUCUCGUGAUUUAAUGUUGAGAAUAAUUUAAUAUUUUUUAAUUCGAUAAAAAGAUGUGUUACGAAAUUGUGUUACUGUUACUAGAUUGAUCUAUCGACUGGUUGGCCACUCUUAUCUUAAACACAUGGCCAUUAUACACUGGUUGCCCUGCAAGGUGAUGGCUGUUGGAUAAUAUUUUCAGCCAUUUGUUGUUAUCAAAACAGUCUUGAAUCAGUGUGAUCGUUAUAAGCGGGAUUAUUAUCUGUAGAAUUUCGAUAUCAAUUAUGGCAUGGGACUGACAAGUGAGACCAAGUAUACUACUACCAUGUAUAUUUAACACUUUAAACAAGUCUAACACUGGAAAUAACUGCAUAGACUUGUUUGAAAAAAAAUUUUUUUUCAAAAUGUUACCGAGGAAAUAUGAAGAAGUCAUACUUGAUGACGUUAGCUAAAUCUGUAGACUGCAGCAUCUUUCCAUGGAUUACAGGGAAACAACUUUUGAAUUUGUUUGGAAUCUUUUGUUCGAGAAUAUAAUACAGACAUUGAGCGUAAGGAUACUGCUGUCGUAGACAUGUUAGUACAAAGAAUUUUCAUGGACGGACAUACUUCCGACAUUUCCAUUGUUUCAACUGAAGUACACCUUACAAACCCUUUGGAGCAAGAAUUGAUGGUAUAUUUAGGUCGUAAUACGAGGUACUGCUUUGUUGAGGGUGACGACCAAUAUGGCAUCAUUUGUGAGGGAAGCUUUGUCAUAAUCUGACAAUGAGGAACAAGCUUAAAAUAUCUGAAAUGUAACAGAGAAUAUGAGCAGUUUUUCAAUGGAAGAUCGAAAGUUGCGAAGAAUGUGGAAGAAAUAAUGUAUAAUUCUUACACAGACUAAAGUAUUUGUCUUUAUAUGCGAUAUAAUAUGAAUUGUUUUAUAAAAAGGAUAAAAUUUACUUUAAUCUUUCUAUUUUAAAUUCUGUACUGUUUAUGUAAAGGAUUAUUGGCGUUUAAUUAGGGAAGCUUAUUGAUGAGACAAACAAUGGAAAUUUGAAUACGAAAUCUGAUUGGUAGAAGUUUGAAGAUAAUGGACCAAUAAGAAAACUCUUUCCAUAGAUCACUAUAUAAGAUGAACCCCUUUCAGUAAAUAUAAGCUUUUGUGUAAUUUUUCUCGAAGGUCUGUAUCUAGUCAUUUCAAAAUCAUGUCGAGCAUUCGAAUUUAUAAGAAACCUAAAUCCGAGACGUCUGAGAAACGUGUUCUAAAAGUUUUAGUAGAUUUUGAUAAAAUAGAGCUAAAAUUAGUUACAAAACUGAAUAUACUUCAAACUAAAAUCAACGAAAAGAGAAAUAUUGUUGAAAAAAGUUCACAGACUAACCAAAAAGAAUUAUGUAAAGUAUUGAAGAAAAUACAUAAAUAUGAAGAAAAAUUUGACAGGAAAACAUAUGAAUUAGCCUGUAUACGGCUACAACGAAGAGUAGCAAUAAUGGAGGCGAGAAAGUAGUGAAAUUAGCCGUGUUCUCUUUCCUGCUGGUUCCCGUAAUUUGAUUCGGAUUUAAUGUUCUCGUCAUUGGAAACAUGAAGAUUAUUGUCUAAUGAAUUUUGUGUAUCUGUCUAGUCAAUUUUAUUAAAUGCAAUAUUUUGAAUAGAGUUAA
Centruroides sculpturatus (bark scorpion) is the source of this 2473-nucleotide long non-coding RNA. RefSeq lists it as uncharacterized. The record is from RefSeq and is a predicted model, not a curated record. Lineage: Eukaryota; Metazoa; Arthropoda; Arachnida; Scorpiones; Buthidae. The transcript has 7 exons.